GGAGACGUGGCUGAGCGGCCGAAAGCGCUUUCCUGCUAAGAAAGUAGGGUGAGAAAUUGCCCUCGAGGGUUCAAAUCCCUCCGUCUCCGC
This 90-nucleotide transfer RNA is filed under the name Chlamydia trachomatis. RNAcentral describes it as "tRNA-Ser(gct)". It matches the Rfam family "tRNA". Rfam says of the family: Transfer RNA (tRNA) molecules are approximately 80 nucleotides in length. Lineage: Bacteria; Pseudomonadati; Chlamydiota; Chlamydiia; Chlamydiales; Chlamydiaceae. The record is from RNAcentral.